RNAcentral lists this ribosomal RNA (499 nucleotides) under uncultured soil bacterium. RNAcentral's name for it is "bacterial SSU rRNA". It matches the Rfam family "Bacterial small subunit ribosomal RNA", at positions 26 to 517 of the family's 1533-position model. The record is from RNAcentral.
AGAGUGAACGCUGGCGGCAGGCCUAACACAUGCAAGUCGAACGGCAGCACAGCCCCGCAAGGGGUGGGUGGCGAGUGGCGGACGGGUGAGGAAUACAUCGGAAUCUACCCUGUCGUGGGGGAUAACGUAGGGAAACUUACGCUAAUACCGCAUACGACCCACGGGUGAAAGCGGCGGACCGCAAGGCGUCGCGCGACUGGAUGAGCCGAUGUCCGAUUAGCUAGUUGGCGGGGUAAAGCCCACCAAGGCGACGAUCGGUAGCUGGUCUGAGAGGAUGAUCAGCCACACUGGAACUGAGACACGGUCCAGACUCCUACGGGAGGCAGCAGUGGGGAAUAUUGGACAAUGGGCGCAAGCCUGAUGACGCAACGCCGCGUGGGGGAUGAAGGUCUUCGGAUCGUAAACCCCUGUCGAGUGGACGAAUAACUCGCGAAUUAAUACCUCGUGGAAUGACGGUACCGCGUAAAGGAAGCCACGGCUAACUCUGUCGCAGCAGCCG